This 90-nucleotide transfer RNA is filed under the name Scedosporium apiospermum. It matches the Rfam family "tRNA". Rfam says of the family: Transfer RNA (tRNA) molecules are approximately 80 nucleotides in length. Their secondary structure includes four short double-helical elements and three loops (D, anti-codon, and T loops). Further hydrogen bonds mediate the characteristic L-shaped molecular structure. tRNAs have two regions of fundamental functional importance: the anti-codon, which is responsible for specific mRNA codon recognition, and the 3' end, to which the tRNAs corresponding amino acid is attached (by aminoacyl-tRNA synthetases). tRNAs cope with the degeneracy of the genetic code in two manners: having more than one tRNA (with a specific anti-codon) for a particular amino acid; and 'wobble' base-pairing, i.e. permitting non-standard base-pairing at the 3rd anti-codon position. The record is from Rfam by way of RNAcentral. Lineage: Eukaryota; Fungi; Ascomycota; Sordariomycetes; Microascales; Microascaceae.
AGGCUCAUGGCGAAGUGGCUAUCGCGUCCGUCUCACAGGUGAAUCACUUCUGAACACGGAAGGUCCUGGGUUCGAUCCCCAGUGGGCCUA